UGUUGGUAGCAUUCAAAACAACAUAGCAAGUUAAAAUAAGGCUUAGUCCGUAAGCAACUAUUCUAGUGGCACUGUCUCGGUGCUUUUUUU
Molecule: small RNA, 90 nt
Filed under: Vagococcus penaei
Lineage: Bacteria; Bacillati; Bacillota; Bacilli; Lactobacillales; Enterococcaceae
Description: Trans-activating crRNA
Rfam family: Trans-activating crRNA
About the family: RNA-guided Streptococcus pyogenes Cas9 (SpCas9) is a sequence-specific DNA endonuclease, the Trans-activating CRISPR RNA form an hybrid with the crRNA (crRNA/tracrRNA). The RNA hybrid acts as a guide for the endonuclease Cas9.
Source: Rfam by way of RNAcentral